This 271-nucleotide ribosomal RNA is filed under the name uncultured archaeon. Its description in RNAcentral is "partial 16S ribosomal RNA". It matches the Rfam family "Bacterial small subunit ribosomal RNA", at positions 524 to 794 of the family's 1533-position model. The record is from RNAcentral.
UACGAAGGGUGCAAGCGUUAAUCGGAAUUACUGGGCGUAAAGCGCGCGUAGGUGGUUCAGCAAGUUGGAUGUGAAAGUCCUGGGCUCAACCUGGGAACUGCAUCCAAAACUACUGAGCUAGAGUACGGUAGAGGGAAGGGGAAUUCCGGGUGUAGCGGUGAAAUGCGUAGAUAUCCGGAGGAACACCAGUGGCGAAGGCGCCUUCCUGGGCCAAUACUGACGCUGAGGCGCGAAAGCGUGGGGAGCAAACAGGAUUAGAAACCCCGGUAGU